This 440-nucleotide ribosomal RNA is filed under the name uncultured bacterium. RNAcentral's name for it is "partial 16S ribosomal RNA". It matches the Rfam family "Bacterial small subunit ribosomal RNA", at positions 338 to 795 of the family's 1533-position model. The record is from RNAcentral.
CCUACGGGUGGCUGCAGUGGGGGCUCUUGCACAAUGGGGGAAACCCUGAUGCAGCGACGCCGCGUGUGGGAAGACGGUCCUCUGGAUUGUAAACCACUGUCACCAGGGACGAAGAUGACGGUACCUGGGGAGGAAACUCCGGCAAACUACGUGCCAGAAGCCGCGGUAAUACGUAGGGAGCGAGCGGUGUCCGGAAUGACUGGAUGUAAAGGGAGCGUAGGCGGGGAUGGAAGUUGGGUGUCAAAACUACCGGCUCAACGGGUAGUCGCACUCAAAACUGGAGCUCUUGAGUGAAGUAGAGGCAGGCGGAAUUCCUAGUGUAGCGGUGAAAUGCGUAGAUAUUAGGAGGAACACCAGUGGCGAAGGCGGCCUGCUGGGCUUUUACUGACGCUGAGGCUCGAAAGUGUGGGGAGCAAACAGGAUUAGAUACCCCGGUAGUC